UACAGAGGUCUCAAGCGUUGUUCGGAUUCAUUGGGCGUAAAGGGUGCGUAGGCGGCGGGGCAAGUCAGGUGUGAAAUCCCGGAACUCAACUCCGGAACUGCACUUGAUACUGCCUUGCUAGAGUACUGGAGAGGAGACUGGAAUUUACGGUGUAGCAGUGAAAUGCGUAGAUAUCGUAAGGAAGACCAGUGGCGAAGGCGAGUCUCUGGACAGUUACUGACGCUGAGGCACGAAGGCCAGGGGAGCAAACGGG
This 253-nucleotide ribosomal RNA is filed under the name uncultured bacterium. RNAcentral describes it as "partial 16S ribosomal RNA". It matches the Rfam family "Bacterial small subunit ribosomal RNA", at positions 524 to 776 of the family's 1533-position model. The record is from RNAcentral.